RNAcentral lists this ribosomal RNA (484 nucleotides) under uncultured bacterium. Its description in RNAcentral is "partial 16S ribosomal RNA". It matches the Rfam family "Bacterial small subunit ribosomal RNA", at positions 28 to 507 of the family's 1533-position model. The record is from RNAcentral.
AUUGAACGCUGGCGGAAUGCUUUACACAUGCAAGUCGAACGGCAGCACGGGGGCAGCCCUGGUGGCGAGUGGCGAACGGGGGAGUAAUACAUCGGAAUGUGCCCGGUCGUGGGGGGUAAUGUCGCGAAAGUUAUGCUAAUACCGCAUAAGAUCUGAGGCUGAAACCUGGGGAGCUUCGGGCAUCGUGCGAUCGGAGCGGCCGAUGUCCGAGUUGGUAGUUGGUGGGGUGACGGCCUACCAAGCCGACGAUUUGUGGGUGGUCGGAGAGGAAGACGCGCCGCCCGGGGGCUGGGACACGGCCCAGACUCCUACGGGAGGCAGCAGUGGGGAAUUUUGGACAAUGGGCGCGAGCCUGAUCCAGCCAUUCCACGUGCAGGACGAAGGCCUUCGGGUUGUAAACUGCUUUUGUACGGAACGAAAAGGCUCUGGCUAAUACCUAGGGCUCAUGACGGUACCGUAAGAAUAAGCACCGGCUAACUACGUG